This 403-nucleotide long non-coding RNA is filed under the name Eutrema salsugineum. Its description in RNAcentral is "long non-coding RNA (ESAL_LNC000316)". The record is from RNAcentral. Lineage: Eukaryota; Viridiplantae; Streptophyta; Magnoliopsida; Brassicales; Brassicaceae.
CUUCCUCCAUCUCUGAAGGCACACCACACUAGAGCUACUCGUCUAGUUCCUCCCAGACAUCAUCACAAUCACAUUCAUCACACUCACCUGCAAUAUGGAUUUAAGAGAGAGGGGUAAGUAAUUUGGGGAAAUUACUCAGUGAGAACCAAGCCAGGCUCCCUUUUCACUCAUUUAUUUUCCACCAACAUAUCAAGAAUAAAUCCAACAAGCAACACACAAGCAUCCUAGCGAUGCACAAACAACUAGCAAGCAAUGAUGUCUCCAACCCUCCUAUCACACAAGGCCACACCUUCCAGUCACACAGACUAGAACAACAUCUCCCAUGUCACACAGACAUAAUACCAUGCAGUCACACAGACACACCUCCAGCCAUACAGGCUCCGGAAAGAUCGGCGUACCUUCC